GCAGUUCGUUUUUAGGCAUUCACUCAUAUUAGACUACGACCUCCCAGCUGAUACCAAUCUUCAAGCCGCUGACAUAUACAACGAAAUAAAAAAUGAAAUACUUUCUACACUGUUGGACUUCUACAAGACAUAUAUUGCUGGCUUGAUUGAAAUAGUAAUAAAU
This is a long non-coding RNA of Ruditapes philippinarum (Manila clam), 163 nucleotides long. RefSeq lists it as uncharacterized. The transcript is spliced from 2 exons. The record is from RefSeq and is a predicted model, not a curated record. NCBI's taxonomy places the organism in Eukaryota, Metazoa, Mollusca, Bivalvia, Venerida, Veneridae.